GUUUUUGAGUGGAGCAACUUCCUCAACGCGGCAGUACAGCUGAUACUCUUGACCCUCCAGCAUCGGCCCGUCGUGAUUGAGGAACCCCACCUCGACCUUUUUGGGAGGCUCUGCGAGGACACAAAGUCAAGAGUCGUCAUGCUGUCUCAUCUUUGGGAAGCUUCCCUCGGCCCACUUCCCCAUACACCAUGCGUUUGUCACAUGUCGUCAAAGUUCACGGGUCGCGGGCGUGCUGGAGCCUAUCCCAGCUGUCAUCGGGCAGGAGGCGGGUUACACCCUGAACUGGUUGCCAGCCAAUCGCAGGGCACAUAGGAACAAACAACCAUUCGCACUCACAGUCAUGCCUACGGGCAAUUUAGAGUCUCCAAUUCAUGCAUGUUUUUGGGAUGUGGGAGGAAACCGGAGUACCCGGAGAAAACCCACGCAGGCACGGGGAGAACAUGCAAACUCCACACAGGCGGGGCCGGGGAUUGAACCCGGGUCCUCAGAACUGUGAGGCUGGCGCUCUAACCAGUCAGCCACCGUGCCGCGACUUGUAAUUAAGUACACUAUUAUCCUAUUUUCACAGUACUUGUCAAGAAGCAUUUUUGUCUUAUUAUAUUAAAACAUUCAACUUUGACCAACUUCAUUGCCAACUAUCAAAUACGAGAAUGUUUUCAAAUUCAUCUGGCCUUGAGGGAGGCUAAAGUGCUC
Phyllopteryx taeniolatus (common seadragon) is the source of this 693-nucleotide long non-coding RNA. RefSeq lists it as uncharacterized. The record is from RefSeq and is a predicted model, not a curated record. The transcript is spliced from 3 exons. Lineage: Eukaryota; Metazoa; Chordata; Actinopteri; Syngnathiformes; Syngnathidae.